AGAGUUUGAUCAUGGCUCAGGACGAACGCUGGCGGCGUGCUUAACACAUGCAAGUCGAACGGUAAGGCCCUUUCGGGGGUACACGAGUGGCGAACGGGUGAGUAACACGUGGGUGAUCUGCCCUGCACUUUGGGAUAAGCCUGGGAAACUGGGUCUAAUACCGAAUACACCUUGCUGGUCGCAUGGCCUGGUGGGGGAAAGCUUUUGCGGUGUGGGAUGGGCCCGCGGCCUAUCAGCUUGUUGGUGGGGUGAUGGCCUACCAAGGCGACGACGGGUAGCCGGCCUGAGAGGGUGUCCGGCCACACUGGGACUGAGAUACGGCCCAGACUCCUACGGGAGGCAGCAGUGGGGAAUAUUGCACAAUGGGCGCAAGCCUGAUGCAGCGACGCCGCGUGAGGGAUGACGGCCUUCGGGUUGUAAACCUCUUUCAGUACCGACGAAGCGUGAGUGACGGUAGGUACAGAAGAAGCACCGGCCAACUACGUGCCAGCCGCCGCGGUAAUAC
Molecule: ribosomal RNA, 505 nt
Filed under: uncultured bacterium
Lineage: Bacteria
Description: bacterial SSU rRNA
Rfam family: Bacterial small subunit ribosomal RNA
Source: RNAcentral